Molecule: ribosomal RNA, 742 nt
Filed under: cyanobacterium enrichment culture clone 3_10_3.2.7_C12-T7
Lineage: Bacteria; Bacillati; Cyanobacteriota
Description: bacterial SSU rRNA
Rfam family: Bacterial small subunit ribosomal RNA
Source: RNAcentral
ACGGGAUCCUUCGGGAUUUAGUGGCGGACGGGUGAGUAACGCGUGAGAAUCUGCCCUUAGGUUGGGGACAACAGUUGGAAACGACUGCUAAUACCCAAUGUGCCGAGAGGUGAAAGGUUAACUGCCUGGGGAUGAGCUCGCGUCUGAUUAGCUAGUUGGAGUGGUAACGGCACACCAAGGCGACGAUCAGUAGCUGGUCUGAGAGGAUGAUCAGCCACACUGGGACUGAGACACGGCCCAGACUCCUACGGGAGGCAGCAGUGGGGAAUUUUCCGCAAUGGGCGAAAGCCUGACGGAGCAAGACCGCGUGAGGGAUGACGGCCUAAUGGUUGUAAACCUCUUUUCUCUGGGAAGAUAAUGGCGGUACCAGAGGAAUAAGCCUCGGCUAACUCCGUGCCAGCAGCCGCGGUAAUACGGAGGAGGCAAGCGUUAUCCGGAAUAAUUGGGCGUAAAGCGUCCGUAGGUGGGUGACCAAGUCAGUUGUUAAAUAGUGAAGCUUAACUUCAUAGAGGCGACUGAAACUGGUCAUCUAGAGUGUGGUAGGGGUAGAGGGAAUUUCCAGUGUAGCGGUGAAAUGCGUAGAUAUUGGAAAGAACACCGGUGGCGAAAGCGCUCUACUGGGCCCGCACUGACACUGGGGGACGAAAGCUAGGGGAGCGAAAGGGAUUAGAUACCCCUGUAGUCCUAGCCGUAAACGAUGGAUACUAGGCGUUGCCCGUAUCGACCCGAGCCGUGCCGAAGC